Molecule: long non-coding RNA, 41884 nt
Filed under: Citrus maxima (pomelo)
Lineage: Eukaryota; Viridiplantae; Streptophyta; Magnoliopsida; Sapindales; Rutaceae
Description: long non-coding RNA (CMAX_LNC001999)
Source: RNAcentral
AGAAAAAUUGCCUAUUUCUAAGCCAUCAAUGAAUUAAUAUCAGUAGGAAAGGAAAGCGUGGUCUAACCAUUUAAAAAAGAAAAAAGAAAAAAAAAAAAGGAAGGUUCUGUUAAUAGUAGUAUAUUGAAUUUAUUUAGAGCAAUCAACUAAGCACACCAAUAAUUAUAAUUCCAAAUUAAUUAUUAUUAUUAAUUAAUGAAUAUAUAAAUCUAGCCAAUGGUUAUCCAAGCUUAUCUUGAUCUUAUCAAGACACCCUUUACCAGCUCUCACUCAAAAGAGACUUAUUAAGGUUUGGUCUCAUUGAUGAUGCAAGUACCGCAGUGUCAAUGCAUAGAUUCUAGGGUUUAUAACAAAGACAAGAAGAAGCAUGUUUUCUUCAGCUUAAAGAUCUGAGUCCAUUUGUUGAUUUAUUAAGAUAUUAAUUAAUUCUAGUUAUAAUAUGUAUUUGUGGGAGUGAAGCUUUUUUAAAUUUAGAUAGUUUCUUCUUGUUAUUUCUUCGUAGGUGCGGUUCCUGUGGCUUCGUUCAUUAUUAUAAUCUUUGAGAAAAUAUUAAAGUAGGAAACCGAGGUCAAUCAAUGGUACUUGUUUUAUAAAGGUUUGAAUUUCUGCAAGCCACUCUUUUUGGUUUUAUCUUCUUUUCUUGUUUAAAUAAUUUUUUUAAUUUUCUUGCUUUUGAGUUUUUUUUAGUAUUUUAUGUACUGUAGCCAGCCCACUUGUCACGAUUAGGGUUUGAUAAUAAUGGUGAUCAUUAUUUUUUAAAUAAUAAAGAGAUGUUGGCCAUUUUGUGAGUUGGGAAAUCUUUGUUUGAUCGAGCUGCACUUUUUUUUUCUUUAGUUUACUUUAUUUUUUAUUAUUAAUAAGGAACUGUGUAAUUGAUUUGAUCAAGCUGUUGGGGUUAUAGCGUUUCAGCUUAAAUGACAAUGUCAAGAUUAACGAACUUAAUGUUAGUACUUAUUUUGGUACUUGUUUUCAGCAAAUAAAAAAAGACAUUUUGGCUCUUAAAGAUUUGUUUUAGUUCAUUAUUGGGAAAAAUUUAAAGGAAGAUAGAAUUAACUAUAACAACCGUAUAAGUGAAAAAAUACAACUAACAUUAUAAAGCAUGUAGUGUUAUAGUUCAUGUUGUCUUCCUUUAGUAUCUAUCUAUACACAUACACACUUGUUUCUCCAUAUUUCUUUAGUAACCCCAAUAUUUUUAUAGUUGACACCUGAGUGAGUGGUUUCUCCAUUGCUUCUUUCAUGAAAUCAACUUCGCUACUACCAUAUCAUGUAAAUCUCAAAAACUAUCAUAUGACUAAAUUAAAAAAAAAAAAAAUUUAACAAAUAGAGGUCUGUGUGUUCAUUCCUGAAACUUUUAGUGUCUUUUUUUUUCAUUUUCACACAUCAAACCUUAAGUAAAAUAAUCAGUUGCCAUGAAAUUGUAGCUAUAUGUACUUCUUAUCUCCUCUUCUGCUCCGUGCUAGACAUGUGAUAAUGACCAUUUCUUGUGCCUUAUUUUUUUUUUUCAAUAGGGCACAUAUAGCUGUUGAAAUUAAGAAUAAAAUCAUAUAUAAAAUAAGUACUACAACUUUGUUUUCAUUUAAAAUAACAUAUAUGCAGAUACAGAUUGUUCAUUUGAAGAAGAAGCUUAAUCAUAAAUAAUUACUUGUUCUUCAGCUGGGUGGAUAAAUGAAACCCUCAUCAAUUAACCUGAGAUGGCAAAGCCUGCUGAACAAGCCUGGAUUGAGUUGUAAAUAGAUAUCAAAUCUUAUAGUUUUUGUUUUCUGAAUUAAAGAAUAAAAGACCUAGAAAUGAGAUGCAUUCAUGCAACAGAAAAUAUAAGGUAAUAUCCCAUUGAUAUGAAAUUAACAAUUCUAUUAACAUGAAAUAAAGUUCAACUUUGAUUUGUUUCCCAAUGCACGCAUCACUUGCUUCGGUCAAUCAAGUUACUUCACAGAAUUGAAAUUGUACUGUUGUUUAUACAUGAUAGCCGCCUAUGAUACUGCAGUUUUCUACAUUCUAACAAAGGGAUGCAUAAUCUACAUUCAUACACGGAACAUUUCAACAAUGUUUGAGACAAAUGGAAAGAAUGGAGGCUUCUUUUCAAUUUGAUCAAAUACCUGCAAUAGUGGUUCAAAUAAUAUACUAAUGAACCCGAAAAAGCAGUGCAAUUAAAAAUGCCAAAGAGAAGAAAUUUGUGGUACAAUUUGUCCAGUUGCUUGAAUACUAAAAUAUUUUAUGACCAAACUAAUCCAAAAAGCAAGAGUGAGAGAGAGAGACUUUGUAAAAAUACCCAGAAGAGAGAAAAUUAAUAAUAAUAUUGAUAGAGAAAUAAUAGUGAGGCACAUUAGACUUUUUUGUCCUCAUAAGCAUCACAUCACCCACUUUUCCUACCUAUAAAUGUUGGCUCUUGUUUCCCUAUUUCUUUCCCAACAAUCAAACACAAACAAACACCUGGCUUCUUCUCUUUCUAUUUCCUAAAGAAGAAGAAAUAUAAGAAAAGGUCAAGAAUAUGGGUCGAGCUCCGUGCUGCGACAAGGCUAAUGUGAAGAAAGGACCAUGGUCACCUGAAGAAGAUGCUAAACUCAAAGAGUAUAUUGAAAAAUACGGCACUGGAGGCAACUGGAUUGCUCUUCCUCAGAAAAUUGGUAUAAUAUACAGUUGAAACUCUCUUUCUUGCUUUUUUUUUUGGUAUGUUGUGCUUUGUAUUAGGGUUUUGGAAAGGUGCAUAUAUAGAUUAAAUUAAUAAAUUAAUGAUGGUAUAAUUGAUGCAUAUAGGGCUCAAGAGAUGUGGAAAGAGUUGCAGACUUAGAUGGUUGAAUUACUUAAGGCCUAAUAUCAAGCAUGGUGGAUUCUCCGAAGAAGAAGACAACAUCAUUUGCAGCCUUUACAUAAGCAUUGGCAGCAGGUUUUUUUUCCCUCUAUCUUCUUCUCUCUUAACAUGAACUGUUUGUCCUUUUACCUCAUCCAUGAUGCUUCUUCUGUCUAGUUAGGUUAAUUAAUUAAUUAACCUGAGUUAAAUUUCUUUGGCUUUUAGAUGGUCUAUAAUUGCCGCUCAGCUGCCUGGGAGAACUGAUAACGACAUCAAGAAUUAUUGGAACACCAGAUUGAAGAAGAAAUUGCUCGGAAGGCGUAAGCAAUCUAAUAACAUCAAUGGAUUAAUAUCAACAUCAGGGCAAGAUGUAAAUGGUGUCAAUAAUGGUGGGGAUGAAAACAACAAUAGCCAAUAUUCACAGAGUUUGAGCAACUCCGCUAUAGAAAGGCUUCAGCUUCAUAUGCAGCUUCAAAGCCUCCAAAACCCUCUUUCUUUCUACAACAAUCCUUCCUUUUGGCCCAAGUUGCAUCCUGUCCAAGAAAAGAUGAUUCAAAAUCUUCAAUCUUUGAACCAAAGUUGCCAAAACCCUAAUUUGCAAAAUGUUCUUCCUAGUUCUCAACUUGGGUUGCAUGAGCAAAAUGUUGGUAAUUUCUUUGAACAAUCCAAUUCUCCUCCUACGCCUCCACAAGACUUUCCACAGUCAACCUGCCCCGUGCCUGUAAGCAAUACUGACAACAAUGUGAUGAACUCAAAUGCUAUGCUUAAAGCGAAUGGAUUUGAGCCAUAUAAUGCAGUAAACCAGGAGGUCUCAACAUUCCAAGCUGAGAUUGAAAAUUUUCUUAAUAAUAACAAAGCAGUUGGAUUCACAGCACAGGAGGAGAAUCAAAUUGCUCAGUUUGAUUGUUUCAAUGCUUUGAAUGGUUCUAACAAGGAAAGUUUGAUUUGGUGGGCGAAUGAAUUUGAUUCAAAAUCCGCAUCCUCAAACUCUUGGGACUCUACGCCUGCUAUUCAUCAAUCUGAGGGGAUGUUUCAAGAUUAUGAAUUAGGUUACAAUAUUUAAUAUUUAGAAUGAUUUGUAUGUUUAUUUGUUAUGAUCAUAAGAUGUUGGGAGACGGAGAGUUUGAUAUAAGGUUUUGUAAAUUAUGUGGAUAAUAAUGUGUUAAUGUUAUAUAUAUUCUAAGUUUAUUGCCAUUUAUGAUUUGAUGUGCUUUACAAAAAGUUUGUGACUUCUGUUGUUUUAAUGAAAAUCACCAACUGUAAUUAACUAUAUGUUAUGCUUAAUUAUGAUUAAUAGAAAAUGUCAGCUGAUAACAGAUUUUAUAUUUACUCGAUCUUGGGGAGUAGGAUUCAUUGUCUUGUCUCUUUAACUAGGAUUACUUCUUUUUUCUUUUCUUUUUUUUUUGGGGGUUGCAAAUUGGAAAUUUUAAUCUUGUGUUCCCCAAGUUCAACAGGAAAAAGUAUUUUGUUUGCUGUCCCGAGAAUGUUUUCAUCUUUAUUUUCUUUGAUAUUUAACUAAAAAUUUAAAAUUUAACACUAAAAUCAUGUUUAAAAUGCAGUUGAAGAUAUAAUUUUGUAUUUUCCUCGUUACACAAGUGGUUAAUAAAGAGCAUCCCAAGUGAUCUCCUUAAUUAAUUAUGACAACUUAUGUAUAACUUCCCCCUUUUGUCCCUGAAGAGCAUCAUUAAUGAAAAUUUAACUUGGGAGAGCUUCUUUCUAAUAUUGACAGCAAAUGGUCACAGUGUAUUUUAAGGCGUGUGUGUGUAAUAAUAGAUUUUGCAACAAACUUGGCUUAAAUGGCUUCCCAUGACAAAUGGCAGGUAGCAGCAGUGACUUAGGGCAUUAAACUUUGAUCAUCACCGCAUUUUCCUACUUAAUUUUUCAAUCAAAAAGUUUGUUGUUAUAACAAAUAUAUAUGAUUUGUGAAUUUUACAAGAGGUAUUAAUUUAAUUUCACGAUUUUUUUUAAAUUAUAAGAUUAAUCGAGCUUCUGAUCAUUUCGAAUGUUUUCCGUACAUCCCCUCUCACUUGUACCACUGAUUAACCAAUCACAAAAAUAUAAAUUCACACUGUAAAAAUUCAACCCAAAAAAAAAAAAGAAAUAUAAUGAGAAUCUUGGGCUUGUGAAUUUUUUGGUUUGGGCUAACAUGAGCAGCCCACCGGUUACCCGGCUUUUUACAAUUACUUUACAAUUGAUCUCUCUGAAAUCUGAAUCUUCUUCGGUGUAACUUGUGAGGCAGAGUUUGGGAAUUUUGGAAAAGAAGGUAUCUAGACAUCAAGUCUCUGAUACAAAUAAAUAAGGUCAGUUUGGAUUUUACUUUUUCCACUGCAUUUAUUUAUUUAUUUAUUUAUUUUUGAAGUUUUAGAUUGCGAUCUGGUAAUGCGGAACUUGCAUACUAAUGGGUAUUUUGUUUGCAUUCUUUCGAACUUAUAAAUUAUCAAUUUUUGUAACCCAGGUUGAAUGCUUUUCAGUUAAAUCUUGAUGGGUUUGUUGGGAUGUUGAUGAGUUUAUGAGAUUAUCUAAUAAGCUACUCACCCGCACUUUGUUUUAAAGAUUUUUCGCUAUAUUUUCUUAAUGAUAUGUAAUCUCUCACCCUUGUCAUUGGGAUGAAUCUACUUGUUUUAUGGCUGCCUGGAUUAUUCGAUCUACUGUGAAUGAGUGAGCUAUAUUUUUUGCAAUACGUACAUUGAUACACUCUGUAUCUGACGAUCUCCAUCGAAUAUUCUAACUAAAAUACGUUCACGGGUUGUUUGGUCUAUAGCAUUUUGCUUCUUUACUGGUAGAACUCAACUAUAUAACACAUGCUUUUUAGCAUUCACAUAGUAGGUGACCUGUGUUGGACUCUCACAUACUUGAGAUCAUUGAAUUUAGAAAUCUUAAGUGAUGUUGUUGGGGUUAGCAGAGAUUGCCAAGAUGGUUAUCUUAUUUGAGUAUGUUUCAUAUUUCUUUAUAUUGUCGUAGCCCAUGAGGUUUUUAAAAGAGUACUUUUAUUGGUUUUCUUGAAUUUUUAAGUGUCUAUUCCAUCUUGAUAUGAAACUGUAGUGUGCAGAGAAACAUUUUGACUUAAUGUCCUUGCUGUUUUGUAUUUUGAAAAAACAUGGGCAGGAGUUAUUCCAUUCAGUUUGUUCUAUUCUUUCAUUUCUACUGCGUACUUAGUCAUGAAGGCGAUCGGGAGGUACUCUUUGAAAUUGAAGCUGUUUGAAAGUUGUCUAAUUUGGUAAUGAUCAUCAUGCAGGAAAUGGGUUUAUGGACGCUGCUGGAAGGUUUUCUGCUUCUUGCAAAUGCAUUAGCAAUAAUAAAUGAAGAUCGUUUCCUUGCACCUAGGGGAUGGAGCUUCUCAGAAUUUUCUGUGGGGCGGACAAAGUCAUUAAAGGGACAGAUCAUUGGUCUCAUUUAUGCAACCCAGUACAUGAGAGUUCCUCUUAUACUACUCAAUGCCAUAUGCAUUGUUGUGAAAUUGGUAUCUGGGUGAUGCUUUACCGGGUAAGAUCUCUGUAGAAACACAUGAUAUGUCUAUAUCUAAUGACUUAGUGUAUUUUGGAAUCCCAUCCCUCUUUUUUAAAUGGUAAAAGUGGAUGUAGAUAACUUCCCUAUUGGUUGGAAUUUAUUUUCUUCUGGAUAUGAAGUGGGUCUGAAAAUAGUUCUAUCAUUGAGUUGUAACUUAAGUGAAAAAGAGGUUAUAGAAGUGAAAAUGGAAUAAUUUGUUGGCUGGAACUCAAAUAGGCCAUUGUUGGUGGAUCCGGAGUCGGAAAAACUUUUUGCUGUCAAAGGUCAUGGGGAGUUUAAAAAGUAAUGGAGCCUCAUCUAUUUCUGGAUAAGAUUUCACAUUAAACCCUGGUAUCCAAUAGAUUUACCUAUUGCCAUAUAUGCUUUCCUGUGAUAUCUGAACUGUGCAUCAGAGCGAAAAUUUUGAGACUACGGUUAGACAUUUUACUUAACAAAACUAACUUCCAAUUUAAGCUGGCUAGACACAUGAAGAUAUGAUAAUAGCAAGGUAAUAAUAGCCUCCAAAGUCCAAACUGGGGUUAGAGUAAAGAACUGAGAGCAAUAUAAUAAUAGGAAUAUUUCCUGCAGAAGAUAGCACCACACACUUCCAGUUCCUGUCUGUCAUUCUUCUUGGUCCUAUUUUCAAUGGUGAAAUUAUGGAUUUCCUAGCUUCAGUUCCUUAGAUUGAUUGACCAACUAAUAGGAGGAUUCUUUGACUCAGGAGAGGAGUGACUCAUUUCAGGUUUCCAUAUAGCCAGAAUCAUCUUUCUUCAGUUUGAUUGGUAUCCUAUGUUGUCUUUUGCUUGCAUUUCUGUGUUCACUCCUCUAUUGUUGCUUCUUUUCUUUUCUUUUUUUUUAAUAAAAGUUACACCGCACCUCAUCCCUUUGCAUCCUCAAAUUAAAUGUAUAUAUUAUUGUUUUCUCAUGCAGCACUAGUAACUGGCAUGCUACAAACAAAAUGUGAAUUGUUUCACCGGAAACCAAUUUUUGGUUGUGUAAUUAAUUGAAUGUCCUUUUUGUCUUAUCAUUGUAUCAUGUGCAGGUUUCUUAUAAUUGAAUUACCAAAUCUAGAGUCUCCCAGAAGUGCUUUUGCAAAACGGAAGAAGCAUUCCUUUAAGAAAAUUCUAGUAAUUCUUUUAGUCUAGGUGUUGUCUUGUAUAAUGAGCCCCUGCGGGGGUUGUAUUUUAGACUUUACUGACAUUCUUUUGGUGUGAGAACGAUAAUCUGAAAUUGGUAGUGUUCAUUUCUAUUUUUUGUUUCAAAAAUAGCUUUUGCUUCUGAUUAUUCACGAUUACAGGGCUGUUUGCAUGUACAUCAACUUUGAUAUCUCUUAGCAAUGCUAAAAGUUUUGUGCUAUGAACUUGACGCCACAACAUUCAUUUUCUCAUUUGCUGUCUAUACAAUUUGAUUGUUGAAUAGCGUGGUCACUUCAGAUUCAGAUGUUGCAAUCAUUAAGAGUUUUUUCACCUUACGGCGCAUUAAAGAUUCAGCUAAAUGUUAUACAUAUCAUUUGCACUUGUAUGAAUUUCUAAGUAAGGUUAAAUCUAUUUCCAUUUCGCGGUUAAUCAUAAUUGUGGUGUGUGAUUAGAGCACUAAUUCUUUUGUGGGCACGAAAGGAGUAUCUCACACUUGCCAAUUGCCAUUAAUCGUAUGGUAGUGCCACUUAGUCAAAACUAAACCUCAAGUUUUGAAGAUUCACAACGUCCAUAGCACGUCACGAAAAUCAGGAGUCUGGCUUGGUUGUUAUUGGGAGUCUUAGGUUGGCCGGUCAACUUGAGGUUUAGUUUUGACCAAGUGGCGCUACCAGACGAUUAAUGGCAACUGGCAAAUGUGAGAUUGUUCUUUUACGCAUACUUGAUGUUAAGACUGACCAAUCUUAUGACUUCUAAUGCGAGGAUUUGAAUGGCUUUUUGACUUAUACCUAUUUUCAUAAUUAAAAUUGAAUUCUUUGGAUUCAAUGUUUAUUUUUGCACGAAACCCGACCUUCAAAGUCUUGUUAUAAAAGCUAAAGUCGAGUAUUAGGAUCCCCUUUUAGCUCUUUCAAUAUUCUCCCAUUUCUGUUCUUACAUUGUUCGUAGAACUUUUUCAGCUGAUGCACAAAAUGUCAAGGCAUUGCAAAUUCAUAAAUUACUUCAAUUCAAAUUCUACACCCCUUCGAAGUAGGUCAAUUUCAAACUUGAUAUACUAAUAGAGUAAUGAUAUAUCCAUAAACUUUUGUACAAAUUUAUUUUGUACAAACUAAUGUGACAUGAUAAGAUUGGUUGAAUUAAAUAUCACUUAGCCUACAUGAUUUAUUUUUAUUAUUUUAUAUUUUCAUUCAACCAAUGAAUUAAUGCCACGUCAGUUUGUAUAAAAUAAAUUUGUACAAAAAUUUGUAACUGUAUCAUUACUCAUACUAAUAUCAAGUCAUGUUGACAACUUCAACGAGAGCCUUAAAAUUCUUAGUAGAGGAACCAUUAGAUUCCGCAGCCUUAAAAGCAAGUUUCUUAAGAGCACCAACAUUCUCUCUCAUUCUCUUCCCUUCCUCACUUGACAAUACCUGUUUCAGAGCAUUCACUGUUUCAUCUUUUGUGAAUUUCUCACCCUUAACCCCCACACCAAUACCCCAUGCCGUCUCGAUGAUCCGCUGGUUCAAUGCUUGAUCAGCAAAAACAGGCCGGCAGACCAUUGGCACGCCGCCGGUAAUGCCCUCAAUGGUAGAGUUCCAUCCGCAGUGAGUAACAAAUACACAAACUGAAGAAUGUUCCAAGAUUUUCAGUUGAGGAGCCCAUGGCACCACUUUCCCAUAAGAUUUUGUUCUUUCUAAGAACCCUUUUGGCAAUUGUUCCUCAGCAUUGCCUCUAAAGGACCAAAGAAAAGGAAACCCUAUUGCCUCUAGGGCUUCAGCCAAUGCUAUAACCUCAGCUCGUGGUGGUGUGAUCAUGCUACCAAAACUGAUGUAAAUAACUGAUGCAUUUUCAUGUUCAUUCAGCCAUGGCAGGCAGCCAUGAGGAUCAGAAACCGGUGGUGGAGAUGUUAAGGUGGAAGGUCCAACGUCGAGAAAUUUUCGGAAUCUUGAUUUGAGUGUUUCAACAACAAUGGGGUCUAGUUCUUCAUAGGAGUUUAUGGCAACGACGGUUGCUUUUGGCAGUGUUUUUCCCAUUUUGUCCAACAUUCUUGGGAAAGAUGAAUCUAGGGGUCCGGAGAUUAUUCCUUCAGGUAAGUCCUUUGCGCGAAUUGAUGAAAAUCCUGGGAUGGAUUCCAGGGUUUGAUUUUCAGGUCCUGCAUUUGAAAGUGGAAAAAUGGAAAAAUCAAUUAAUUAAGUAAUUAAUCAACUAAAUAAUAUUGAUAAUAACAAUAAUAAUCAACAAUAACAAUAAAACUUGAGAAAAAGAGUAUCUAAAAAUUUGUCAGAUCAAUAAUAUAACAUAGCCUAAUGUCCACCGAUCAUGUAUAUUAGCUUGAAAAUGAUUUUCUAUAUUAGGUAACGGUCUUUACCACCAGACCAAUGAUCUGGUUGUUUUAUAACCAUGUAACUAAUGAAUGCAAUAACUAAAUUGAGUCUAUGGUCAAACUUACCAUUAACUCCGAUAAUUUCCCGAAUAAUAUCCGAGUCAACGUGAGCAAGCAGCGAACGGGGUCCGGCCGUCCAGUAUGCGAUCCACGGGACCCGCAUCUCCUCGGCCAUCUCCGCCGCAAACCAAAGGAAAGCAUCGGUGAUCAAGCAGCUGAUCUCCAGCCCCGUUUUCGCUACCGCCUUUUCCAAAGCUCGCACAAAAUUCCCAGGUGUUGCCUUCAGGAAAUGUUCCACUGGCUCCCGAGGGUUGCCCGUAAACCUGAAGCCCUCGGGCAAGCCGGACUCAACAUUGUAAGGCACUAUCUUACAAUCUCGAAGCUCAUCUUUCUCCAUAAACAAUGAGCCGUUGGAUUGUGCUGUGCUGAAGAAAGAAAAGGUAACCUCUUCCUCCAGCGCGGCCUCGGAGAGGCGCCGGACGAGGUCAAGGAGGGGAGCUGCGUGAGUUCCGAAAGGAAAUGCUAAAACAGCUACGUGUCUUCUCUGGGUGCUUCCGGCUGCUUCUGACAUUUUGUAUUAUUAUUACCCGACGAGAUAUUUGAUGUUUUCCCCUCUUGCUUGUGAAGAUAUUUAGCAAGAGAAGGAAGACGUUGGUAGCAUUUAUUGUUCAUGAUAAUGGCUAGGUCUUCAUUAAAUAAUAUUAGUUUCAACUCCUUGAGGAAAAUCUGGCGCGUCAAUUAAAUUAACGUGAUUAAGAGCAAAGUUUUGAAAGAUCGUGAGAAUUUAGAAAAUGGUUAACAAGGAGAAGUUCGGUAGCUUCUACCGUCCAUGAAAAUGGCCGAGUUUGUGAAUGUUUGAUUAGUGUCUUGUAAAAUUGGAGGAAAUUGAGGAAACCAUCCAUACAUAGCAUGAUAUUAUUAGAUUAUUAUAAACUGUCGUGCCACCUUUAAUGUAAGGGAAAAGCGAUACCUUAAUUGUUAUGUACGUGACAAUAUUUCGCUAGAUCGGCGUAUGAAUUUUUGCAAUGUAUGUAUUUUAAAUUUUUGGCAUAUAUGUAUUUUAAAUUCAAUUUUCUUCCGAGUUGUGAUUGAUGAAUUUAAAUAUAUAUAUAUUUUGAUGAAAAGCAAAUACAUACCAAAGCUCGCCCAAUUCAAAUGAACAUGGACUUAGAAAAACACUACAAAGAAGAAAUAAACGAUUUAAUUUCUAAAGGUCUCAUUGUCAAGUCAAGAUCCCCCUGGUCUUGUGCUGCUUUCUAUGUCAAUAAAAAUUCUGAAAUUGAAAGGGAAACACCUAGACUUGUCAUUAACUACAAGCCCCUUAAUAAAGCCUUAAAAUGGAUUAGGUAUCCCAUACAUAAUAAAAAGGAUUUGCUCCAAAAACUACAUUAUAUAUAUAUAUAUAUAUAUAUGUGUGUAUGUAUGUAUGUAUGUAAAAAAUUAAUUGGAUCAGAACAAGGAUGAUGACAUGUUACCUAUCAUUCUCAAGUGAUUCACGUCUAUUGGAUCGGCUUAAUUUGCAUGGUUGAAGCUUGGAAUAAUAUUUAAUUGUUUCCCGGGGAUCCUGAAAUCUGCAGCCAACGUGGAUGCGUUUAGAUCUUUUAGUUGUUUGUGGUUGUGGUAGAUUUUUUUUUUCCCCUCUCUCUCUUUCUUUCUUUCUUUCUCUCUCUCUCUUUCUGGCACAUAGAAUAUUGAGGUUCAAACGCCUUCCGUCCCUGGAAAGGCCUGCUGAUUAAAUGACAAAUUUCAAUUCUGAUGUUGUCACAGAAAAUGCAUUUCAUUCACAUGAUUUUCCUCAUGUCUUAAUGGUCCACGCAUGACUAAUUCCUAUGAAAUUAAUGUACCAUUAACACUUUAUCUUGAUUGGUAAAUAUUUUUUUAUUGCUAGUAGUUUAUUAAAACUAUUCUUAAUCAAGUUUAUUAUAGUGCAUUAUAAAUUUAUAUCCUCACUGAUAUUUGGAAGAAUAUUUAAUAAAUUUAUAUUAAUGGAGGAUAUAUUCAUUUCUACUCAAUUAAUUUGAGUCCUACCAAUUCUUAUAAUUUUAAAUCGCUUUGAAAAUUUGAGAUUGGGGAUGUUGCCAUUCAAUUAUAAACUCAUUAGCUAACAAUAAAUAUGUACAGAUGAUAGAGGGAGAAAUUUUAGAAUACAUAAGAGGUAUUAUGCUAGUUAUAUAAUAAAUAAAUAAUAUUAUGAUAUGUAUGCAUUUAUUUUUGAAAAAUCACUAUGCAAGUGGUGGUUAUAUUAAAUUUAGUUAUACAUGUUAUACAUACAUUAAUUAGCUAUAUCACCUUUUAUAUAUUCUAGUAUUAUUCGGUUAGAGGGUAUAAAGGAUGUGUAACUUAUGGUGAGAAACUUUAUGGAUUAUAUAAAUGAAUAUAGAAAUAUUUAUUAGCAUUAGGUGGCGAGUCUAAUCUAGCUACACUAAACGAAUCAAUGUCUCUCUUCUCGAAGAAUUUUGGAAAACUUUAAGACGUUGCUUCUUGGUACGUCUUCAAUGCUGAAAAAGUUUAGGAAACCUUUUUAAUUUCUCUACAAUAAAUUAAGGAAAUUUUGAUUACAAACAAGUUCUAUUGGCUUUGGUAGAGUUUUGGUAUUGUUAUUGUAAAUUUUUGCUCAAUGUAUAUCAAUUGAUCUAUGUUCUGAACUUUUUUACACAGUUUUGAACUUUUUUUAAAAUUAAGUUUUGUGACUUAUUUUAUCCUUAAGACAAAUGUUUUAAAUCACAUCUCUUCUUGUGAUUAAUUAUUCUGCAAAACAAAACAAUUAUCAAAGGGGGUUGGCGUGCCAGCUAUACCUUUUAACAUUUAAGUCAGUUCUUUUUACUCAAUUUUUAUAGAAAGAAAAUAUGGAAUGAGAUGGGCAGAUUUUUUGUACUCAUUUUAUACUCCUUUUUUCUUUACCUUCAAAUGGGGAUCUUGGCCUUUAAAUAGGUAUUUUUGUGUCAAUUGGAGAGGUUAAGUGGCAAUUUUCUUGUGACAAGUGUCAUUCGAAGCCCAUGCACGGAGAUAUAUAUUUAUACGUGUCAAUACUUAUUUAUGAAAAAUAUUUUUUAAACAUUUGUCAUAUUUUUGGGCUUUUGUCCUUUAAUGGGCUUGAGCUUGAAUUUAGCGCUUAUGUUGAUUCCUUAUAAAAAAUAUUGAUUUUAUAACAUUUUGCCUAUAAGCACAAUCCGUAGAAUUUAAUCUUUGCCCAUGGCGCAUUUCGUAAAACGUACAUUUGCCAGUAGGCGUAUUUCAUAAAAUGUUUUACCUGUAAGUACAUUCUGCAAAAUACUUAUUUGCCAGUAGGCGCAUUCCGUAAAAUAUAUAUUUGCUUGUAAACUCAUUCCAUAAAAUAUUUGUUUGUCCAUAAGCUCAUUUCGUAAAAUGUCUAUUUGCUUGUAAGCGCAUUCCAUAAAAUGCAUAUUUGCCCAUAGGCGUAUUCCAUAAAAUGUAUAUUUAUCUGCAGGCGCAUUUUGUAAAAUGUGCAUUUACCUAAAAACACAUUUCGUAAAAUAUAUAUUUGCCCACGGGUGCAUACUGCAAAAUGUACAUUUGCUCAUAAACUCUUACUUGGAAAUAUUUUUUUUAAGUAUGAAGGUCAUUUUUUUUGUAAGGAACGGAUUUAGGUCAUUUUUUGUAAAGAAUAAACCUAUAUCGUUCUUUAUAAAUAAUAGACCUAGAUCAUUCUCUGUAAAGAAUGGAUUUAUGUCUUUCUUUGUUGAAUCAUGUCUUGGCGUUUUGUUAAAGACUUACUCUUUACACAUUUUACUUAGAAAUAUUUUAUAGCUCUUUACGCGUUUUACUAAGAAAUAUUUUAUAAGUGCUUAGGUCAAUUUUUGUAAGGAGUGGAUAUACGUCGUUCUUUCUAAAAAAUGAAUAUAGGUCAUUCUUUAUAAAAAAUCAACCUUGUCAUUACUUGUAAGUAUAGGACCUAGGUCGUUCUUUGUUUAGAUCGUUCUUUAUAAAUAAUGGAUCUAGGUUUUUUCUUUUUGAUAAAUAUUGGACUUAGGUUAUUCUCUAUAAAAACAGGCCUAAGUCUUUCUUUAUAGAAUCAUGGUUUUAGCGUUUUAUCAUAUCUUGUAUUUAAAUACUUAGAAUUCUAAGUACCUAUGCCAAUCUUAUAUAAUAGACCUAGGUUAUUUCAUAUAAAAUACUUUUAUUGGGCUUAUAUUUUUUGUGGGUCUUAGACUUUUCAUAAUUUGGUCUAAUAGGUACAUUUGUUUACAAUAAAAGUUUGUGAUUCUAUAUUAUUUAUCAAUUAUUAAAUUUAACUAAUAUUUUGAUUAGCACUGUAAAUGCAUGUCCAUACAAAUUUAUUCAAUUCAACAAUAUUUUUAUUAAAACAGAGAAUUCGUCAGUAUCGGUUUAACUAUAAUUAUAGUACCCUAAGGACAUAUCUUAUUUCACAGUUUAAGCAUCGUUAGAUAAUGAGAAUUUCUUCAGUGUUUUUGUUAUUUUUUAGUACUUUUGUUACUUUAAUUAUAAGAUAGGUUAAAGAAUCUUCGCUGGAUCGUAUUGAUUUAUGUAAAACAGAGCAAACGAAAGUAAAUAAAAAAUGGCAAAACAAAAUUUUAUAGAAGCCGCUCCGUUGAUUGAGGUGGUAAUAUACAUUGCAUCUCCGUCGAUUAAGGAUGUGGCCUUUUUCAUAAUAAAUUCCGGAAUUUCGCCGAUAUCAUUGUUGAAUAAAGACAUAGUCUAUUCUCUCAAUUUGACUUCUGACAAAAAAGAAGAAGAAGAAGAAAAAUCAUCUUCUUACUCGCUCAUUCAUAUUAUUUCUUGAGAUGAUCGAUUUCAGGUCUUAAUUUCAUUUAUUGACAAAUUAGUUCAAUUUAUUUAUAUUUUUUUUUAUCGUGGGCCGACACAGCCUAUUUCUGUCGCAUAUAAUCUAUGAAUAUUGUUUACAUUUUAGCGGAAUUUGCAGUUAUAGAAAUUAAGGACCUCUCUUUUUAAUUCUGUAAGGAAAUAAUAAAAUAAUCUGUCGUAUCAAAAUUAGCUUCUGAAAGGAUCAGAACAGGUGCCCAUGAUUUUUGGUUGACAAUUGUAAAGUUGGAGGUGGAAUUUAGAAAGAUUCCGAGCUUUUUUCUUAUUUGAAAAAAAAGAAGAAAGAAAUUAGGAUUAUAUUAUGCCAGCAUAGAAUUUAGAGAAUAAAUUUGCCAAUGACACAGCGUUUCAAAAAGAAUAAUUGAUGAUUUGUACAUCCAUUUCUAAAAAUAUAUAAAGGCCAUGGUUAUCGUGAAAUUACUUUAAAGUAAAGUAUAAAUCAUAAUCACAUAUAGUAAAGUGAUAAAUAGUAAAAAUAUAUAUUAUAAUUUUGAUCGUAUGGUUAUGAAAGAUUACUCUACCUUAAAACGGUUUUAAUAUACCCGAACCCAUAUAUAAAACACACUUUAAGAAUGAUACAAAUUUAUUUACUUAGUAAUUAUUUUUAAUGUUGUUAGAACACUUAAGAGAUAUUUUUAUAUUGCCAGCUGUACUAUAGUAUCUAUGACUUUUAAUACAUAUUUGGUAUCACUUAUCUAAUAUUAUAAGUGUUUGUUUAAUAUUAUAAGCUCUUUUCAUAUUUUUUUAAUUGUUAUUUAGAUUCCUUCGAGUAGAAUUUUUAAAGAUCAAAUAAACAACUUUAUCUCCACUAGUAAAAACUUAAAUUUUAGUGUCUGUUUGGUAUAAUUUUUCUAAUGGUCAUAAGUGCUUAUUUAAUCUCGUAAGCUCUUAUUCAAAAUUUUUGUUGUUGUUUUUCUUUUUUUCCCUCAUAGCUUUUGAAAAUUAAAUACUCUAUUUGAUCUCUACUAGUAAAAACUCAAAUUUUGAAUUUUGGGAAGAACUCCGAAGAAGAGGUUAAAAAGCUUUUUUAAAAUGUUAAAAUAUCUUAAUAUCAUCUACUUAUUUGAUAUUUUUAUUUUAUUCUUUUUAUAACGUAACUUUAAAAAACUUGCCUAUUAAAGUAAUUUUAUAAUUUUUAAUAAAAGUUCUUAUUGACGACCAAACAAAUAAUUUUUUUUUUUUUGUAAAAGCUCUACUUAUAAAAGCUUUACUAAUAAAAAAUUCUAUUUAAAUAAAUUUUACUUGAAGUGUUGUACCAAACGUUCCCUUAAGCUUUUAGGAAUAGAGAUUGAAAAACUUUUUUAAAAUAUUGAAAUAUUUAAAAUAUACUUUAGUUAUUUUGACAAUCUUAUAUUAUUUCUUUAAUAACAUAACUUUAAAAAAAAUUACCUAUUGUAAGUAAUUUUAUAAUUUUUAAUAAAAACUUUCACUGACAACCAAAUAAUUAAUUUUUUUAAUACAAACUUUAUUUAUAAAUAAUCUAGUUAAAUAUGUUUUACUUAAAAAUGUAUACUAAACAAAGAUUUAAUAUUCAAUAUUUUUGGGACAUAUCUUUUGCAACGUGGUAUGAUCCAAUUGGAUUUCACGUAAGCUAAGAUUUUUAUUAUUCAAUUUCAAAGCUCUGAGCAGGUCCAAAAUUAUUAAACUAUCGAAUUGGAUAUUCAGAUCUCUAUGUCCUCCUAUUUUCAAUACUUCCAAUCCAAACUAGCGUCUCUAUGCGUGUCCUCCUUUAUCUACAUUGAAAUAAAUGGCAAGAAAAGGCCAUCCCUAAUAUGAUCCUUUGACCAUAAUUUCAAAUUAAUUUAAAUUUUAGAUUUUUUUUUAACAUGUCUCCUAAGAAUAAAUGUUAUAAUGAUAUUAUCAUGUUCAAUAAUAUCAUACAUAAAAACUUACGAUAUAAUAUUACUUUCAAAAUCUCAAAAAAUGUGGUUUUGCCAUACUAAUUGUGUGUCAAGUGAUUAAAAUCUUAUCUUCUUUUGAGUGAUGAUACUGUCACAAACUCUUGUACAAACUUAUCUUGUACAAAUUGAUGUGGCAUUAAUUCAUUGGUUGAAUGAAAAUAUAAAAUAAUAUAAAUAAAUCAUGUGGUUCAAGAAUAUUUAAUUCAACCAAUGAAUUAAUGUUUUAUCAGGUUAUACAAAAUAAGUUUGUACAAGAAUUUGUGGCUGUAUCAUCACUCCUUUUUUAUUAUUUUAUUGUUACAUUAAGAUUUAUAUAAUAUCCAACUAUUUAUCAUAUUAGUUUAUAUAUAAAAUUUCUAUCCUAAAUUUGUAAAUGCAGGGAGUCGUCAUUUUACAAUAACUCUAAAUGAUUGUACCACUGCAUUUCAAUUUUUUUUUUAAUGAACAAAACAUUGAGAUAAGUAACAAAAAAUUUGAGAUGUUGUCCACUCAGUCGAUUUUAUUUUAUUCUUACUGAAUAUUUAUUUGAAGAAAAAGAUAACAAUUACACUUUAAAUAAUUUUUACUAUUACUAUUUUGAAACCUGUAGUGUUAAUGUGUUUUCUUUUGGAUAACAAGUUUUACUAACUACUCCGAUUCCCCUCCCCCUUCUAAUUUAGUAAAGUUAAUUAUAUGAAGAGAUGAUGAAUGAUUUUCAUCUUCUCCGUUUCUUGCGGCGGAUGAAUGAAAAUAAAAACUUAAAGAUAAGGCCAACACUAGCUAUGAAAUAUUAAUUAGAAAUUAGUUUUAAUUAGCUUGAAAACUUUGUCGCCCCUCAAAACAAAUGCGGCAAUCAUUAUCGAACAUGGAUGCCACCUCAUAGUUGACACUUUAUACCCUCUUCCAAAACCAACUACUACCAGAAUUUCAACAGCAACAAUAAUUAUAAAUGCAAUGCCACAUUAAUUGUAAUUAAAAUCACAACACAGUAUUCACAAACACACAUCUCCGAAAUGAGCAAAUUAAUCCUUGCCACCGUCGGCAUUUUGCUGCUGCUCAUUUCAAGCAGCAAUGCUAGCAGCAACAGUAAUUACUGGAGCCUAGCAAAUCAGUUCCUGGUGCCUCAGAAUGCAGCUCGUUACGCUCUUAGAAUGAGGCCAAUGCAAUGGGACCCCAAUCUGGCGAGAUAUGCACAGCAAUAUGCAAACAAGAGGAGGUAUGAUUGUGAGCUGAAGCAUUCUAACGGACCUUAUGGGGAGAACAUUUUUUGGGGCAGCGGCAACGGGUGGACGCCGGCGCAGGCGGUCAUGGCGUGGAUUUCGGAGAAGAAGUCGUAUGAUUAUUGGUCGAAUUCGUGCUCCGGCGGGCAGCAAUGUGGGCAUUAUACACAGAUUGUGUGGAGCAGAACAAGGAGAGUUGGAUGCGCGAAAGUGACUUGUUUUGGUGGAAGAGGUGUUUUCAUAACUUGCAAUUACGAUCCUCCUGGUAAUUAUAUUGGAGAAAGGCCUUAUUAGUUAUCUAAAUUGAUUUUUGAUGAUUUUUCAAGAAAUUUUGUGCGUCUUCCCUUUCUUUUUUUGGGAUUGUGUUUUUUUGCCAAUGGAAAAAUAGAACAUGGGCUACUAGUGUGUCUUGAUGUAUAAAGUCUUUAAGAGACUUUAUUUUUCUUUAUUCAUGUUUUUGCACUAUUAAUUAUGUAAAAUAAAAAAAAAGUAAUUAAAAAAAAGGCAAAGCUUAAUUAUGCCUUCGAAUUAUAUUUAUGUAUAUACUGUCAACUGUCAAGUGUCAUUGUUAGUAAGCUCUCUUGAUGUGUAUUUAUAUCUAUAUACGUAUUCUUUAAUUUCGCCCAACUAAUUAAGGGAAAGUGAAUUUCAGGCUCGAUGUCUUCACUUUCUUUUCUUUGGCCAAUUUUUUUAGUAAACAAAUAAUUUUGAAUUAUAUGUGCAUACUUAGGGCGUGAUAUUGUGUGUUUUUGAGUCGUUUUCGGCUAAUUUUUUAGACCAUUCACUUAUGCUUCUUCCUCUCGUUUUGUUUUGCUUCGCUUUUUUUUUUUUCUUUUUCUUUUUGAGUGAUGGAUUACAUAUAUUUUUCAUCAAGUGCAAUGCUUUUUUGUUUCUAUCUUUCUAUCGGAAAUCAUGAGUUGUGUUCCAAAACAUAGAGCCUCUUGCAUGCUGAAAGAUUAUUUACACCUUGAAAGGAAGAAGGAAGAGACAAUGAAUAAGAUACACAAAAUAAUUAUGCCACUUACGAAAAAGGUAUAUGGGUUCCACCCUUAAAUGGAAAAUCCAUAAUUAAAUUUGCGAAAAUUGUCACAUAUUCUGUCAUUAUGAUGGGGAAAAAGGGAGAAAAAGAAACAUUUCUUCUAUCUGUGUUCUCUACUGCUGAUUACUAUUAAUUAAAAUCCAUUUAAUUUUAAUUUUAAAUUCUUUAAUUGUAAAAAUUAGUUUAUAUUUUAAUUUGAUCCUUGUCAUAUUGGAUUAAAUUUUGAAAAAAAAAUCAUUAACUAUAAAAAAUACUUUAUUUUUGCUGACUGCAAAUAAAUAUAAGUGUUACUUAAGAAUUUGGUUCGAUUGAGUCAUAAUGGAGAAACUGUGUGUGUCAGUGUGUGUGUGUGUUGAUAAAGAGAUGAACGCUACAACACAAAGAGGGCCUCCGGCAGGACCAUAAUAGAGACACUAUAACCUCAUGUUAUAAAAAAAUUAUAUGCAAACAUGAGCGGCCAAACAUAAAAUAAAAAUAACAAUGGGUAAAAUUUCAAUUCAGUUGUUCAUUUUUCCUAGAACUUUUAUUUGGCUAGUCCUGCUGUCACAGGCUAGCUCGAAUAGCUUUCUGCCCUCGAGCGACCUUAUGUAAUCAUUUAUUUCUAUUACUUUGCCUUAUCUUACGGAGCUGCUUAAUCAGUUAUAGAAAACAAUAAGAUACAGUAGAUUUUAAAACAUGCAUAAUAACUAGCACGGUUACUCUCUACAGUAGAUUAAUGACAUACACAUCGAAGAUUACUAACAAAAUGAUAAUUAUAAAAGUAGAACUCUUAUUGAUAGUAAAGAUAGUCGAAUACAAACCAUCAUACUUGCUACUGUCGCUAACAUUUUAAUUUCCAUAAGAACAAUAUACUUCAUUUUUAUAAAAUACAUGCUGAUUAAACCUAAAUAUUUAAUUACACCAUACCAUGUGUCCACAGAUAUAUCUCCAAUUCCCAAUUCAUAUAUAGUACCAAUACAAGACAUCAAUACGGCCUUUCACCAACAUAAUUACCAACAGGGUCAUAGUUACAAGUCAUAAACACAUCACCAUUGUCACAAACAACACGAGCACAUCCAAUUCUCCUCGUAUUCUUCCAGACAAUCUGCGUAUAAUGCCCGCACUGCUGCCCCUCUUGGCACGUAUUCGUGGCGUACGUAUAGUACUUCUCUUCUCCGGCCCAUACACUCACUGCGUCCCUCGGCGUCCACGUCGACCCACUGCCCCAAAAUAUGUUCUCGCCAAGCUUGAAAUUGUCCUCCGGGAACGAAUGCUGCAGUUUGCAAUCCGCUUUCCUUUGGUUCGCCCACCACCUCGCGUAUUUCUCUAAGUCAUAGUCCCAGAUCAACGGUAGCUCCCAUUUCAUGGCUCUAACUAAGUUGUGAUCAAACAAGAACUGAAGUGCCUCACCUAUGCAACCCCAGCAUAGUUGCUUGGAGACCCUGUAUAUGGUUGCGUUGUCGUUGUCCGGGCUUAAACGGUGCGUCUCAGGUUGAGAGGUGACCAACAGAGUGUUAGUGGUGAUGAUGAACAGAACAAUAAUCUUGCAGAGAGGCUGCAAUUGCGGCUUCAUUUUUGUGUCUGUGGCACGAAAUUUCAAGGAGUAAUCUAUUCUAUUCGACCGUGUGUGUGUGGGUGUGUGUGAAGAUAUAUAUGGUGGUGGGGCUACAAAAUAAAGAGCAAAUGCCACUAAUUUCUGUGAAUUGCAAGCUCCAAUGAGUGCAGAGAGUUGAAUUAUUUUAGCUUGGUGUGAAUGGGAGAGUGUUUGUUUUUUUGCAUGGCGUAAUUGAAUGAUUGAAUUUCGAAGGUGUCUCGUGAGCUGGACCAGCUGGUUUAUGUUGCGCCCGUGAACCCUAAAUAGGACAAUAUUGCGGUCGGCAUGGAUCAUUCCAGAAUCAACGUGUCAUCAUUUUAUUCGACAUAAAAAAAAAAAAAACUAAAACCAAAAUAGAGUUAAAAAUGUAAAAGGCCAAAAAGAAGAACUUAUAUCGUACAUGUGAUUGACAUAACAUGUCAUAAAAUAAUUCAGUGUUUCAAUGUUAUCCAUUUUGGCCGGUGUUACGUUACGUUAAACGUACGCCACACACAAUAACAGUUGAGAAUUUCACCAUAAAAAUUAUUGUUGUAUAUGAAUAUACGUUACGUUUGGGAUUCAUUAAUUUUAUGUGCUACAUUAUCAGGUUAUUUUAAUAUUAGCAUUGACCCACCAUUUAUGAUGUAUUUACCUUUAAAAUUGAGGAAUGAGAAUCUAAAAUCUAACUCAUUGACUUUGUUUACUUACAAAAAUAAAAAGGAGAAUGAAAAAAAAAAAAAAGAUAAAUCCCACGUGAAGUUGAAAAUCAAAUUUUUAUUCUUUGAACACACUAUUUUACCAUCACCUAAAUUUAUUAAUUUCACUUUUGUAAUAAAUAAUAAUAAUUCUUCUUCUUCAAUUAUUAAUUGGUACACACAUAAUCAACUUUUGUCUAUUUCAAUUAGGACAAAGGUUUCAAAAGUUUACAUCUUCUCCAGAAAAUUAAAUCUUGCCCUGUUUUCAAAGUAAAAACAUAUAUCAUAACAAAUAGAUUUCACCUCUUUCCACCAGAAUUUAGAUUUGUCACAAAAUUGCAACUCCUUUUCUCUUCCAUAUCUUCCCUAAUCUUCAACUUAACUUGGGCUUUUGAAAAGUGGCGUCUUGUAUUAAUUUUGCACACAUUGCAAUAGAAAGAACCAAAAACGAAAAUGCAAAAGCUUCAAGCACGAUAGCAUUAAUCCAACACCAUCUUACAAACAUAUAUUCAAAGAAAUCAAUCUUGCAUGUCUUUGGACCGCUUUGGAAAAGCCGGAAUUUGUUUUUGUAGCUUUAAAACUUUCUUGUGGUUACAAACCCAAAAACCAAUUGAUAAAUUUUCCAAGACUUGCAUUGUGUUUCAACAAACAACAGGGCACACUCUCUGGCGCAGCCCACUAAACAUAUCCAAAACUAAUGUCUCCUAAUAGCAAAGGAAACCAUUAAUGAGCCUAAUGAAACAUGAAGAAUCAAACAUUUUAGUAGUAAAAUCAAACAAAUUGACUCAGGUAGUAAGGCACAUAUGAUUAUGAACAAAGUAUUUUUUGACAAAGCCGCAUCUUGUCCAAGAUAAGAACUUCCAAAUUGGGGGAGUUCUUGAGAAAGGUUGAUAACAAUUUCUAAAUCAGGCAACACUGAGUUCUAGAAUUUCCAUUGUGCCCGAAUCAUCAAAUUAAAAUGUUGUAGUUACUCAAGACAGAAGAAUUGUAUUUAAUUUAGGGUUAGGCUACUUCUAAUGUACAGUAGUUACUCUUUACUAGGUUCAAGUAAAUUUUCUUACAAAAGAGUUACAUAAACAGAAAUAUAAAUUAUUAAGCUGACCGUUAACCACAUUCUUGAGCACUAAAAUGAACUUCAUACCAACGUUCAUUAUUAAGAAAUUACUUAGAUAUUGCCUAUAUUAUUUCUAACCUAGAUCGUCCAAAUUCACAUAUAUAGAAGUAGGACCAAAUCCAACAAUGGAAUUAAACAAAUUGACUAUUUCUAAGUCAUUCUCCACCUUUACAUUGGAUUCUCUUGAUAUGGAACAACAAACAAUAAGGCACACACUGUGGUCCAAUCCAUUCAACUUUUUGAUAUAGAAAACCAAUAUCAAUCUACUGAUCGUAAAUUAAGAAAAAUUAAUGAAUACCAAAAACAACAAAUGAAAUAUCACUUGGUUCAAAACGUUCAUCUUCAUCACAUCUAAGUUAGGCAAACUAUUCAUUCUCUCAUUGCAAAUAUAUAGAUAUUGGCUAUAUUUCCUCUUCACAAAAACAUCCAUAGUUAUGUACAACAUUGUAAACAGAACCAAUUGCAACAAAGAUAUUAAACAAAAAGUCCAACCUGAGAACACAAUAUUACCAACUUAACUACAAAAACUUUUUAGGAGAAAACAGAACCCAACCAUUUCAACAAGAAAACAAGUCCAAAAAUCAAAUUCAUUUCUUCUCAAGACAAAGAUGUGGAUCACACAGUCUAAUGAUAGGAACCAGUCGUAGACAAAUUUUUUGAUUCUCUCGACAUGAAAUAACGAUCUGUGGUUCAAUCCAAUGAGUUAUUUAAGCAACACAAAUAUUGAUGUCCUGAAUGCAAGCAAGAACAAGUGUCAAAAACAACAAAUUAACUAACAUGUGGUCUAAAAGUUCAUCACUUGCUUUCCUUUAUGUAAGGCGAACAGUUAGGUACAUCUAGAAGCUUAAUUUGUCGACUAUAUUAAUAAGUCUAUUAUCUUAAUAAAAUUGCAAAGAGUAGGGGACUGCCACAAAUUAAGAGUUGCUAAAACUUCUAAAAAGACGUUGUUCAAAAUAAAUCCCUUUGCCCCAAGCUGUCAACUUUUGUUAAUAAAUUUGAGUACCUCAAAUCAAUUUAAAAGUUGACUCCUCUAUGAUUUAAAGAUUAUAUUUACUACAUAAUAUUAACUUUUAUUUUAUAGUUAUAUCUUUUUUUCACUCUCAAACACAUCUAUAAAUUUAGAUUUAGAGAUGUCAAAUACUAAAUUGUGCAAGGAAAGGAGGGCCUCAUGAUUUUGAUCACUUCAAAUACAUCCAAUAUAAUUUGAAGAACACACUAAUGUCCAAUGUGAAAUCAUUAGUCUGAAUUAUAUAGCAUAAGUGAGGAUUAUUUAUGGUUAUUUAUGAAAAUAUUAUACAGAAGGAGAGGGAAUCAAAAUCACUUUCACUCGGUGAAGGAUAUUUGUUGAGUAAAAAUAGGUGUGUUUAGAAGUGAGCGAGCUGCUUUGUGUAAUGUUAAUGGAGUACGCUUGACAUAGAGGGGUUUUCUAAAGAUUUUGAAGGGGCGUCAAAAGUCUCAGUCAACAAAAAGAGAAAAAGGAUUGGGCUUAGGCUUCUUUUGCGGCCCAAUGAUCAACCAAUUGAUAAGAGCCCGGUGUUAGCAGGCUUUACUUGUAAGGGCCUAUGACAAGUAAUAUUAAUAUAUUCAGAAAAUAGCUAAUAAAGCAUAUUAUUCACGUACUUUUUAAAUUACGAUUGACAAAAACAGGACGUCCAGUCGAUAAAUUCAUUUCAUUUCCACCAAUAUCCUCCGCUGUUUCCAGUGUCACGCUGGAACCGUUAUUUGUCGAUUACUUUACUUUCCAAAUUUCCACUUACCACUUAGGAGAAGCCAAUUAGCCAAGUCAGAACAGGACUCGUUUGGCUAGCGAGUGAUGACUCUGUCUCGGCGACUACUCAACUGUUUCCUCAACCUCUAAAACAAAAUCCAAAACGUCACACACUCGAACCCGGCCUUUCUCCAUUUCGAAUAAAAACAAAACCAAGCUCUCUGUUCACAAUUAUUUUUCUACGGAUUCUCCCUCCAAUUCCUCCCGCAUGAUCGCCGCCAAUUUUUCUCCAAUCCAGACAGCCCCCCCGAUCUCGAAUCUCAAUCGUCCGUUUAAUCUUCAAUUACUCUCCUCCUUUCUGUCGCGACGUAGGAAGAAAAUAAACGCCGCCGUUCUGAUUUCGGUGGAUCGAAGUGAGAUGGAUUGGAUUCGAAGAUUUAGUGUCGGCUGCUUCAGUUCGAAUAAAGACUUCAAAAUGGAGGCCGACAGCGGCGGCGUAGACGUUUUCAGUACCUCCGCCAAGCCUCCACCUGAGCAUCUUAUUAUUAUGGUUAAUGGACUCAUAGGCAGGUUAGUGGGCUAAUUAGUUAUUACGCUGCGUUUUGGUUUUUGAUCGUUUAAAAGCGCUUCCGAGUCAAAAGUGAUUUCUGUCAAAAGCACUUGGAUAGCUAGUUUUCAACGUCCUUAGAAAAGCGUAACAUAAACUCGUUUAAAUGCACUAGAAGUGCUUUUCUAUAGAGCAGCUAUCUAUUACUUUUCUAAAAUGCUAUUCAAUUUCUUUUUACUUCUACGAAUGUGAAAGUAACACAAAAGAACAAGCUUCUCUCUGUUUCAAGUGCUUUUGACAUCAAAAGUACUGCAAAAGCGCCCUAAUUCAACUGUUUUUUUUUUAAUAUGUGUAAUUAAUAUCGGUUUUGUUUUGCUACAUUAAUUGCACUUUCUCUAUGUUCAGUGCUGCAGAUUGGAGAUUUGCUGCAGAGCAGUUUGUGAAGAAGGUUCCUGAUAAAGUAAUUGUGCACCGUGAGUGCUCUCAAUGUCUCAGAUGAUUUUUACAGUGAUUUUUAAUAUUCAUUUUAAGUAUGACUGUCCUUUUAUUAUCGAUCUUUGAACAUGUUAAUGAAUAUUAAGUUCGUGCUCUAUUGAUUAUUAUAAAAAAUUAACUUGGAGUUGGAUGGGAAAAACAUGAAUUCAGUUAGGUUAUUUUAGGUUACUUGAUUAUAUGGUACCGUAUGAUAUAUUGAUAUUGGUGUUUAGUUAUAGUAUUACAAAUGUUUAAUGGUCAAAGAUCUAAUGUUUUUAGCAUUCAUAUUGUUUUUGAGUGAUAGCCAUCAAAUUUUAAACAUCAUUGGCUUUAUAAGUUCCUGAUAAAACGUAGAAAAGGAAACCAAAAUGGUGACACUGUUUUUGGGGUUGACGAUUGCUUUUGUCCAGAAGCCCCAAAAAGUGGAUGUGUAACUGCUUUGUUUCUCUGUUUAGCAUACAAUCUAUUCACAAUGCUGUAACAUAUGCAUGGGAACCAACAGCUCAAAUUGAAAUUUGACUAUCAUUGUAUCAUUAAAUUGAGAAAUUGGGCCGAAAUUGUCUAAACUUGAGCGUUUGAGAUAAAAAGCUUCAUUCUUUGAUAUACUUUUAUCAAACAAAUCAAAGAAUCAGCAAAAAAAAUACUUGGAAAGUAGUUUAAUUUGGGUUAAUAAGUAGAAGUUCUUUCUAUCACCGCCUCUUCAAAUUCUAGCAUAAGGUCAGUGACUUGGACAAAGCUAGAUUGAAGAGAAUUUGUUUAUUAGCAAAAUGAAUCUAGUUAUGCUUAUCGGGUCUUUGAUCAACUAAGUUAACAGCCAAUUUAAUUUCACUGCUGAACUUUUUAUGUUCAUUUGUCUGUGAAUGGUGCCAAAAUUUUGUGUAGCUCUACAUUCCGAUUUCUGAUAGUGAUUGUCUUAAUGGCUGCUGGCUGCAAUAGUCUGAUUUCUUUAUUGAGAAGUAAGCAUAAUAAUUAUUAUUGUUUAUACAUAUAUAUUGAGCAGGCAGUGAAUGCAACUCUUCAAAAUUGACAUUUGAUGGCGUAGAUUUAAUGGGUGAAAGGCUAGCUGCUGAGGUAUUCGGUAAUAACAGUUUGAUCUUUCAUCUGUAAUGCAUGCUUAAUUUGUUGAAAUCUUUUUGUCUAAAAAACUCAUGGAAAUUUUUAUUUAUGUAAUUAGUAAGUUCUACGUGCCUUACAAGAUAUUUCAUAUUCAUGUGAGUUUUGAGUUCCUGAUUAAUAUCUAAUGCAGGUACUGGCUGUAGUUAAACGUAGGCCUGAGGUGCAAAAGAUAUCGUUUGUGGCUCAUUCAUUAGGGGGUCUUAUUGCAAGAUAUGCAAUUGGUAGACUGUAUGAGCAUUCUCCAGAGCACCGUCCCAUAGGUAUUCCUAAGGUGGCAGGUAUUCCUACAAUUGCCACAACUGAAGAGCAUCGGAAUGAUUCCGUGCAAUCCCUUGAGCAUCCUUGCAAAGCUAGAAUUGCUGGAUUGGAACCCAUGAACUUCGUAACAUUUGCGACUCCUCAUCUUGGUUCGAAGGGACACAAACAGGUAGAUAUUGCAUGACCUUACAUGCUAUCUAUUUUGGAAUUCUGUGCUUGCUUUUCCUUUUUUGUUACAUUAAGGUUUUAAUUAUUGAUCGUAUAAUGAUGUUGGAAUUCUGGUUUGUCUAAGAUGCUUAAAACCAUGGGGGAAAGAGUUGUCAUUUUUUUAUCUUUUAGUUUAUAUUAUUGCCUCUGAAAUCAUCACUUUGUGACUUCUAGUGGUAUGACGGGUCAAGAAGUAGCACUACCUUGAAGGGUUUCCCAUUUUUGUUAUUCUAGUGCUGUAUCUUAAGUGCUUUUACGCGUGUUCAUGUUAGUGCUAUUUUAUUCUUUUGUAUCCAGGAAGAUGCAAUUCUAGAAAGCUGUUUUGACAUUUCUUUGUCUUGUUUUUCGGCCUCAGCUUCCAAUUCUGUGUGGUCUACCAUUUCUUGAGAGAAGAGCAUCCCAAACGGCUCACUUGGUUGCUGGGAGGACUGGGAAGCAUCUAUUCCUCAACGAUCGUGAUGAUGGAAAACCUCCCCUUCUCCUUCAAAUGGUUAAUGAUUCUGAUAAUUUAAAAUUCAUGUGAGUGUUAAUUAAUCUACAAUGCUUUCGUCAAUUUUUCUAUCAGUGCAUUUUAAUAAUUGCAUCACCUUUUGUGAUACGUAGAUCAGCUUUACGUGCAUUUAAGCGGCGAGUGGCAUAUGCAAAUGCCAAUUAUGAUCGUAUCCUUUUCACAUUGAUGUUGGCUUUCAAAUUAUCAGUAUUCUAUUUAUAUAAGGUGCUUAGUUUGCCUUUUAUGCAAGACUACGUUUUAUCUUCACUGUUCUUUAAGAUAUGGUUGGGUGGCGAACUUCAUCAAUCCGGCGUCAACAUGAACUUCCACCAAAGGUGUAGUUUCUUUUCAUUUUCUUAUCUGGUUUUCGUCUUUACUUGUCUGUUUGGUGAUACUUUCACUCUAAUAAAACCUGAACCUCAAUAUUUCCUUCUUGCUCGUUGGUUCAGUCCGAUCUUCUCAUAACUGAUGAGAGAUAUCCUCAUAUUGUACGCACUGAAUGGGAAACUAUGGACAACAUUAGAAAUAAAGCAUCUUCUGUUAUUGGAGACCAAUCAAUUGACUUGGAAGGUAUGUUAAAUUUAUAAAACAAGUACUGCAGAGUUUUUGGCAAAACCAUCAAAUCUUCAUGUGAAGGGGUCUAGGAAUUAUACUUAAAUGAUGUGCUUUGUUUUCUUAUAGAAUCCUUCAGGCUGGACAUUGCUUAACAUAUUUAAGAAUUAGUAUAAUACUCGGUAGAAGCAAUGCCUGAAUUUUCUUGCCAAUCUCUGCCCUUCGUAUAGCAUUUAGGCUAGUCUUGUUGAAAUCCUUUAAUGUCAAGAAGCAGAUUUUGUGAUGUAAUUUUCUACUGGUGUAGUCCUGACUGGCAUUGGUAUAUAUUCUGAUGAAUGAAUUUAACAUAAGUUUGCUUUGAACAAUGUAGUAGAAACUCUUCUUCACAGGGGUGAAUUGUAUUAAAUUUGUUACAACUGUUUUAAGGGAACAUUGCUGAAAAUAUUUUGGUUUUAAGUACCAUGAGUCCUAUUCCAUUUUCCUUUUUAAUAGCUGCUGCUAAAAUAAAGCAUCAGUUGGUUCAAUUUGAAGUUAUAUUACGGUGCUACAUCUUCUUUCCUUAUGUCCUCCAUUGUUUUACUAUAAUUACAUUCAAUCAUCAAUUUCGCUAUUAUAAUAUUUUAUCAUCACUUCACUCAUUGUUAACUUUUUCUUCAUGUAUCUUGCUUAAUGCGUUCUAUUUUUUUUACUGUUAAAUACUUAUUUUAAAAAUACAUAUUGUAGAGAAAAUGAUUAGAGGCCUCACUCAAGUACCUUGGGAACGUGUGGAUGUUAGCUUUCACAAAAGUAGGCAACGAUAUGUUGCUCACAAUACCAUUCAGGCAAGUUCUGCAGCUACUUGACUUUUCUACUACGUAUAUGCUGGUUAUUAUCAACAUUUUACAUUCUGAAAUUUUUUAUUUCUAUCUUUUAGAUUCCUCUAUUUUAAGUGAAUGGGACAAAGCUCCUAGAUGUAGAUAUCAAGGAAUUAGAUGAUAAUGUGCUAUUAUUUACAUAUCAUAUUAGCUGACAUUUCAACUUUCAUCAUAUAAUUGGCAAGUUACCACAACUUAUGUGGAAGUUUUAAAUAACGAACCUUCUGAGUGGGGUGUGUGUAAUUCUAAACAUGUUUGAUAGUUCAGAUGCAGUUAAUAUUUGUCUUGUGCCUCAUUUACUAUAAGGACAUUCUGGGUUUUGUUUUGUCUGUGAGGCAGCAAGGUUAUCUGAGAGAAGGGGUGAAGAUCUAUAAAAUGCAAUGAUGAAAAAUUUUUUUCGGCAAUCAUAUAUCUUUCUUUUAAAAGGAGGAAAAAAAAAGAUUCUUCUUUUCAUUAAAACUCAUAAAAUCAAGGAAUAAUCAUACGUGAGCAUAUUUUCAAGUAACCCCACCGUUUAACUAUUAUAAAGUUUCUAUUGGAUUUCUAUGGAUUAAUUACAAAAUUUGAGGAACUUGCUACACAUCCUAGCUGGCAUACAUGCCACAAGUGAGACAUGUUACAACAAACAGAUGACUUGCAACUAGAGUUUUACAAGCUCAUGUUACAGAUCUUCAUUAGUUAUCAGAAGUCACUAGCGAUAGUGCUCUAUCUGUGGGCAUGAUACCGGCCUGACACUAGAGACUCGGGCAAAGUUUAGCAAUUUAAUAUAAAAAUAUUUACAAGGAAAAGUUUGGUAUUUUAAUAUAGAAAAUAAUUACUAGGUUUUGUAUUUCAACAUUUCUAAGUUUGUGCUUCUAACACAAGGAAAGAGGGUCUGAGAAUUAAUGAACAGUUGAAAAGAAGAGUUGAAUCUCAACACAGUUUUAGUUAAGUUAAAAAAAAAAGUUAAAACGAUUAACUUUUAUACAAUUAGCUGUUGGAAAAUGAAUGAAUACUGUUCUCUAGUUGAUGAUAAUCAUGGUGAUUGGUUUACACGUAUCAUUUUAAGAAUAAUUUAAUGCGUUUUGGUUGUGAUACUUUAUUUAUAAUACUCUAUACAAAGUUGUUUUCUGGAAAUUAACGGUCACUGAUUUAAUGCUAGAUCUAAUUGUGUGGGUCUCAUUUCUGUAAUUUUACAUGUGCAUUCAGGUGAAGAGUUAUUGGAUGAAUUCUGAUGGUACAGAUGUGGUCUUCCAUAUGAUAGAUAACUUCCUUCUCUAGAUGUUUACAAGUUGGGAGCCUUGUACCGGUGUAUUUGGUGGGUUAAGUUACUUCAUUGUUGGUGUAAAAUGUGGGUUGUCGAUCAUGAAGACAUUGCUCUGUAUAUUACUUUGUGUCAGCCAAGUGAAGUUAAUGAUACUGCAGAGUUGUUGCUUACCAUGUUUUAUUUUUUGUUGGCAUAUUUUAUGUAUAUUAUACGGUUUUUCAGCUAUAUAAUGGAACUAUUUUCCUUACAAAUAGCUCUUAGUGAUUGCUUUGGGUUAAUUUUCACAUAUAGUGCAGAUAUACUGAUGUGCUGCUGAACUAUAUGUGGUGUUCUCUGGUCAUGAAACUUCACUAAUUUCAUGCUGAAUGAGUCAAAUCAUACCAUUUUUCACAAUCUAAUUUAGUAUAAUUUAAUCACCAAUUUGAUUGUUACUGACCACUCCGCCGACUAGUUGUGGAAAAGAAAUCAUUACGCAGAUAUGGGUAAAAUGAGACAGAUUUUGUAAUUUCUUUAUGUUUCCUUCUUUUUUCAGUGAACAAAUUUUCAUCUCUAAUGUAUAUUUUGGAAAAACGAAGAUAAAAGGAAUGACUAGAAAUAAAUAUCAAUGAGCUUUGUUUUCUGAACACCAGAGUUUUUAUGAUUAGCCUUAGCAAUAGGCAGAGUACUCUACUUGAAAGUACCAUUUCUAUUACUAUUUGCUUUCGAAUUUCUUUGAGAAUCUCUCAGGAACUGGGCAAAGGUAUGUUGAGACAAGCACCCCCAAUGAUGAUUAUUAGGAGGCUGCAGUUACUUUUAUGCUAUACUAACGUUGCAAACUAGAUUUAGGAUUUACUGUUCUAUUUUCUGGGUACUCUUGCUAAUGAUGCUGGCUUCCUCUGGAACUUGCGUUUGAAGUGGCGCAUCUGAUUGCGCAGUCAACGGGCUUGAUAGACUUUUGCAGAACUAAUAAUCAUUUUAUUUGUCUCAAUACAUAUUAGUUUACGAACAAAUUCAACUGCAAGAAAGUUUAUCAUACCUCUUUGUACACCUUAAGCUUCCCUACAGAUUUUGAUAUUUCUACGACACAAUUAGUUGGAGGCACCUUAAUAACCUGACAUAGACAGAUAAUACGGUGAGGGUUUUUGGUUGCCGGAAGACGAGCAUUAACAAUUCAUAGUUAUUACAUAAAAAUCAUAAGACAAGCAUUAACAAUUCAUAGUUAUUACAUAAAAAUCAUUAGUGGCUGGGGAAUAAAAUAAUCCAGUUUUAGUGCAAAGCGAGAAUGAAAGGAGAUAUUACCUUGAAGUUGUUCGUCUUUUCUUCUGACAAGCUCACAUCCAUUGCUGCAGCUUCUAAUUUCUUUAUGGUUUCAUUGCUUGGAAGCUUGGAUCAUUGAAAUUUUGCAGAACCAAGGAAGGUCAAACAAAGAUUAGUUCUGAUUUUAUUUACUUGCCCGUCCUUCAAAGAGACCUGAUAAAUCUAGGUCAUGUGAAUUGCAAUCAAUUGAAAAGCAUUGAUAAAACUUGGUGAUUUGGUUGUCUUUGACGCUGCUCCAUUUUCCUACAUAGACUUUCAUAUAUGAAGUUAUGAAACACUGUAUCUUGGAACUACCUAAAGCUCUUACUUCCAUUGAUUCAAAAGCAGAAUUAACAUCAUCCAAGUAUAUUUUCUCGUCACAUUCAUAUCUGCAGGACUGUUUGUAAUCUGUUUGAGACCAUGUAUCCUCUGUGAUCCCUAGAUUGCAAUUCGCUGUUGUGUUCCAAGGAAGAAAUUAUUUAGUUGGUCAAUUUGAGUUUAUAUAUGCAUAGGAUGUUUUGGAUUUGUACCCUGAUUGGACUUGGAUCAAGUAUCCCUGGGAUUAGCUGCUUCUGACUUUCCGUUAACCAAUGUGAAAAUUUGUAAUCUGCUUGAUCUAUCUGUUUAUUAAACAUCGAUCAGCAGUCUGCGGAGGUAAGUGUUUUGGAUGAAGAACUAGUUAUAUGCUGUAUACAAAGCAUACCUCUGUAUAGAACCAUCAAAUUACGAUCAUCAAAUGGUAGAUAACCAGCAAGUAGUUUCAUAAACGAUUACUCCACAGGACCAAACAUCUGUGGCAGCUCCUUUAUAGCCCUUGCGUGCCAGCAACUGUUUGCCAGAAGAUGAACCAUCAGCCAUAAUGUUGAAAAGGAAAUCCAGGUAUGAUUGACCAUCUGUUCGCUUUUGUCUUCAAGCUUCUGAAUUUAGCAAAAUAAAACUUGGGAGGAUACUACUAGCUACGAAAAUGAAAGAAGAACUUCUUAUCUCUGGUGCCACAUAGCAUGGAGAGCCACAAGCUGUUGUUGACACGUCUCCAGGUUGUUGUAAAUUACAAUUUCAGUCAGCCGUUUUGUUAGAUUUAGGAAAUUACAAAAAUUGUCGUUAGAUUUUGCCAUGCACUUAGUCCGAAAUCAGAUUCUUUGAGACUAUCCAAGAGCAAGUUUUGUGGCUGCAGAAAGACAUCAAGAUCAUUAACUAGUUUGUACAGAGAAUUGACUGUUCGAUAGAAGGUUGUCUAUAUGGACCUUCAGACCGUGAUAAACUCCUGUGUUAUGGCAAUAGUAGUCAACUGAAUCAAUCAAUCAAUUGUUGAAGGAGCUUUCUUGCCUCUGCUUCUCAGGGUUUCUUGACACAUGACUGAGUAAGAAUGGUUGAAGAUUAAAAUUUUCGAUUAAAAGCUUUCAGGAACAUAAUCUGUGAAUCCCAAAUGCAAUAAGAUGAAUCUUACCGAUUUGUUUGAGAGUUGUCCCCCUGCAUACAUAUACAUAUUUUAGACAAAAAAACAAACGUUGCCUUAAUUUUACUUAUAGUUGCUGUGAGUAGUAUACACAUUUGAAAUCAUAGGAUAUAUCUUUUUAAUAAAAUCCGUUUAUUACUUUUUAGAUGAUAGGCUAUUAGAAAUUCUAUAUAUAAGUAGUUACACGCACGUACACAAACUUUUCCUUGUUUAAUGCUUUAGUUUAUGGGUUUAAAGUAAUUACCAUAGCGUAGGAUUAUUUUUGAAAUCUAAAUGAGUUUUAAGUCACUUCAAAAAUAAAAAGAAUAUCUUUCACAAAUGCUUGUGUUGAAGUGAAUUUUGUGAACAUGGUUUUAUUUGUUUUUCCCACGGAAAGGGAAAGAGACAUCAAAUUAGGAGGAUAGUUUCGAUGCCAUGAAUGGUCCUAACAAGGACGGUUCGAUUUGGUGGGCAGAUGAGUUUUAUUCAAAAUCAGCAUCCUCAAAUCCUUGGGACUCUACGCCUGCUGUUCAUCAGUCUGAAGGGAAGUUUCAAGAUUAUGAAUUAAGGUUAAAAAAUUAUGUAAUAUUUAGACCUCGGAAUAACAACGUGUUAUUGUUAUAUUCUAAGUUUAUUGCCAUUUAUGAUUUAAUGUGUGUGACAAAAGUUGAUGCUUUAUCUCGCUAAAUUCAUGGCUUCAAACGAAAACUAGUUUUCAAAACCAAAAAUUUUGUGGCUUCCGUUUAAUGCAAAUUACUAAGAGUAACUGUAUGUUAUGCUUAAUUAGAAAUAAGAGAAAGUAUUUAUUUGAAUUUUUAAUUUGUAUUAAAUUAUUUAAGUAAUUCCAAUUAAAAAAUAAGUUUUAUGAGGAACUUCGAAGACUAUCAGAAGGCCAACUCAAGAUAAAAAUAAACAAUAUGGGCUAUAACGAAGCCUGUUGGGUCGCAUUAUCAGUUGUCCAAUAAUGAAAGAAAGAUCAAGAAAGCUCAUCUUUUAGUCAGCCCAAAGCCGAAUAACUCAUGAAAUUGCUAAAACAAACGACCGAACGGGAAGUAGUAAUAAAUUAAGGCCAUGCCUAUGCUUCCGUCUUUGAUUGCGCCACCGCCGUUUCAAAUCUGAUUUAUUCAACACUCGAGAUGCCAUGCCACCUCAUAUUUUCUUUAUUUUUAUAAUUCCGAAAAUCUCGAAUCUCUGGAUAGAAAUUAGAAAACUUGAGUCGAGUCUGCACCACGUCACCUAUUAUUAUUAUUAUUAUUUAUUUUUUUCUGUUUGAGAAGACGUCACGCACUAAAUUAACUUAAAAAGAGUCUCACUACCAACAAAAUCACACGCCGGGGUUAACUCAAAACCGUUGAAUUAGCAAUGUCCAUCAAAACUAUCAGGGGUUACAUGACUAGCUCAUAGCUAGGCAAUCCGAUAACUUCUCCCUUUUUGUUAUCCUGUUACGAUAACAGCGUAUCCUAAUCCCGAAAGAUCCUUAUCUAAAAUAAACACGAUUUUAUAUGUGGAAUGACAAAAAAGUCCCCUUUUAGGACCGCGAUGUUGUCUCAAAACUUGGGAUAAACCAGUAAAUUGAUAUUUUAAAGGAUUCACUGCAGAAGUAAAACACGUGUAAAUAGAUACCUGAAUACCGUCCUAAUCUUCAAUUCUAAAAUAUAUAAUUCCAAAUAAGCUCUGAUUGUGUAUGUCUAUUUAUUUAUAAAUAUUUUACUCUUCCAGCUUGUUUGGUUCGUAUCAUCAAUUUCAGUUACGCACUUCAAUCUGUAAGUCUCUCCGUAUCUCACUCCCUUUGAUGAUUAAUGACCUUUUUUUUUUUAAUUGGAUAAGCUUCAAGCUUCUGCUUUUCGUGACAAUUGUAGUAGUCUUUUUUUUUUUUAAUUGGAUAUAAUUCAAGCUUCAACUUUUCCUGACAGUUUCAGUAGUCUUUUGUUGUUCAUUAUUUAUUGUGGGAUAAGUGGUAAUUGAUUUUAUUCUGUUUGUUGAACGUUGAUGAUGGGCACUUUUUAAGUUCUUUAUAUAACAUUUUAAUUAUAUUUGAUGAUUGAUGAUGAUGAUGAUGAUGAUUAUGCGUCAUUGUGUGUGCCAGAGUUUCAACUUGCAUGAGAGAAAACGAAUGAUGGAAGCUCAGAAGAUUUUGCUGCUGCUGUUUUGUUUGAACUUGGUCUCAUCUCUUGUGGUAAAGAAUCAAACUCUUUGUGUAAUUAUAGUGUCAAAAUGCAUUUGAAUUGUCACGCAUGGAAACUGUGUUUAUUUUGUAGUGUUUGCUUUGGAUAAGUAAUUUUUUUUUUUUUUUAAUCUGAGGAAACGUGUGAGGUCUUCUUUAAAGAAAAAGGAAUGAAAGAAGAGGACUUGAGAGUAUAGCACUUGAUAAGUGCUUCUCUGAAAAUUGAUUCUUGCAGAAAGCUCUUGUUAUGAUGUAUUGGUAUUACCCUUAAACUAUGAAUUUAUUUGAUUACUGAGCUGGUUUUACAUUGUGCAGAUUGCUGGUGCCCCACCAACUUGUGCUGCUAAUCUUGAUAGCAAAUGUGCUGACUCGGAUGAAUGGAAAGGGGAGUUCUUCCCUGGAAUUCCCAAAAUUAAGUAUGAGGUAAAUUCGCUUAUGAUUUUUUUUUUUUUUUUUAGCAACUAGAUUAUAGUUUCAGUAUUGUGGUUAUGGUCUCCCGACUGUGGAUAUUUAUAGUUCUUUUAUUUGAUAUUUUUCAGGGUCCAUCCAGCAAAGACCAUCUAGCAUUCAAAUGGUAUAAUCCUGAAGAAGUGAUUCUUGGGAAGAAAAUGAAGGUUGGUUUCUUUUGUUAAUUUAACUUUGCUUUAUUGAGUAGCUUGUGUUUGCUGACAAAGUAAUUAAUGACCACAGGACUGGAUGAGAUUCAGUGUUGCAUUUUGGCACACAUUCCGUGGAACAGGAUCUGACCCUUUUGGUGUGCCUACAAAAUCAUGGCCGUGGGAAGACGGUACCAAUUCAAUGGCCAUGGCCAAAAGAAGAAGUAAGAUUGAUAAAUGCUCUUAUGAAGUAUACUUAAUUUGCAUUAAUGGGCAAGAAUUGAAAAAGUAAUUGAUGUCCCAUCUUUUGCUGCAUAUUACAGUGAGAGCCAACUUUGAGUUCAUAGACAAGCUUGGAGUUGAUUUUUGGUGUUUCCACGACAGGGAUAUAGCCCCUGAUGGCGAAACUCUCAAGGUGGGUAAUUUUUAUAUAAUUAAGUUAUCCUGUCUAUUGCUUUAAUUUGUCAUCUUUAGGGAAGGAUUCUUAACAUAUUUAAGUUCUUUGGCUAGUGUUAUUCUUAAUUGCAGAUGUACUUUUCAGACUUUACUAUUGUAUAUUUUCUAACGUUUCUGAUUCCUGAUUAUUGUUUAUUUCAUAAUCCUGCUCACUGAACUAGGUAAUGGGGUGUUAAAUGUGUAACAGGAAGCUAAUGCAAACUUGGAUGAAGUGGUGGCCCUUGCAAAAGAGCUUCAGGUGAGUUUGUUAAUAUUAAUGUCAAACGGUCAUGUGAGUUUACUCAAAUCUUCAUAGUUAAUCAUGGUUGAGUGAAGCAGAGAUACCAUCUCUUGUCUUCAUAAGAUAUCCUUGAAGGCUUCACAAAUUUACUUCCGGUAUUGCGUUUCUUCGUUUUAGCAGUCUGAUAUAACUCACCAAUAAUGCCUCUUCUUUAACAUUUUUCUACGAGAAUCUGCAGGGAACUAAGGUCCGUCCAUUGUGGGGUACUGCUCAGUUAUUUUCACAUCCUCGAUAUAUGCAUGGUGCUGCAACUAGGUAUUGUUUGUUUGUUUUUUGUGUGUGUGUGUGUGUGUAUGCAACUGGGUGCUUGAUUUUUUGUUGUAACUUUUAUUUUACAUUGACUGGAGUUGAUUAGUCCCUUUAUUAACUGGGUCCUUUUUUAAACUUGCUUUACAGCUCUGAAGUGGCUGUAUAUGCUUAUGCUGCUGCUCAAGUCAAGAAAGCCAUGGAGGUGGGUUACCUUGUGUGCACAGUUAUGUCAUGCAAGUUACGACUAAAAUAGUAUCAUCUCUGGUGGUUUUGACCAUUUUCAUUCACAAAUUCCAUAGGUCACUCAUUAUUUAGGGGGAGAAAAUUAUGUAUUUUGGGGUGGCCGUGAAGGCUAUCAGUCUCUCCUGAACACAGACAUGGGAAGAGAGAUUGAUCACAUGGUAUGCUUAUCAAACAAUAUCCUUUUUAGCUUAAUGCUUUUCUCUCGUUAUUUUGCGUUUGGUCCAUCUCUUCUUCAGUAAUUAGGCUUCACUAUUUUAAGUGUUCUGUUUCCAGUUAUAUUUUUUGAUUCAUUGUAUUCUUUUUUGAAUUGAGACUGAGUUUACCCAUUCACAGGCAAAAUUUUUUGAAUCUGCUGCCGCGUACAAGAAGAAGAUUGGAUUCAAAGGUAUUUUCAUUCACCUAUACGUUGCAAUGAAUUUGUGCAUUACUUGAGGACAUAAAGGAGAUACCUAAUUGUUGGUGCACAUUUUGUUAAUGACCUAUUUUUUAUUGGUGACUUUCUGUUUUCUUCUUAAUUUUGUCUUUUGCACUUGAUCAGUAUUUAACUAGGAACAAAUUUUUUCUUUCCCCCACUUUUUGGUUGGAAUCUUUCUUUUUCUUUUUUUAUUGAUUUCUUUACUGCGCCAAAAUUCUAUUAAGGACCUAUCUUUCACUUCAAUGAUUUUUCAGGGAAUCUGUUGAUCGAACCAAAGCCUCAAGAACCUACCAAACACCAGUAUGCUUCUUGACUUGUUUAGUGGUUAGCUAAUUUGGCAUAUGAUCCCCUUAUUCUCACACAUGAAGAUAACUUGUAGGUAUGACUGGGAUGCAGCAACAGCAGCUAAUUUCUUGCGGAAAUAUGGCCUCAUAAGUAAAAUCGCAUUUCUCUUUUUUGAUACAUUAUGUCAUUAUGCUAAUGUUUGAAUGUAAGUUACAUCUAUGCAUAAUUUUUCUCAAUUAUUUUGUAGAUGACUUUAAACUAAACAUUGAGUGUAACCAUGCCACCCUAUCUGGUCACAGGUAUGUCAUAAGUCUGGUAUCUCAAGUUCUAAUGCUUGCCCAUACUAUUUUCCCCAGUGCUUAUUUGGCAUUCUUUAAAAACUUGUUCACUUUUCAGCUGCCAUCAUGAUAUUGAAACUGCAAGACUCAAUGGUCUGCUAGGAAACAUUGAUGCAAACACUGGUGACCCUCAAGUUGGUAAGUUGGAUGCUUUAAUGCUUUUGGCAUUUUCUAUUUUUUGCUGAUUUUUUAUCAAAAUUUACAAACUCUACCUUAAGAUGUUCUGAGACUUUAGGUUGUAAUGUAGAGCCGUUGCCUAUCUUACAGGUUGGGAUACAGAUCAAUUCCUGACAGAUAUUGGAGAGGCUACUUUGAUUAUGCUCAGUGUGAUUAAAAAUGUAUGUAAUAAAUGCAAUUUUCUAACUCACCAGAGCAGUUUGAGAUUCUACGAGCUGGGACUUACACAGUGAAUUUUACCAUUUUAUCACAGGGAGGUUUGGCACCUGGAGGAUUCAACUUUGAUGCAAAAUUGUAAGCGUUUUCUUCCAUUAACAAUUCUUUUACAUGAACUUGUUUGCAUGCCCAUACACAUGAUAUUUUAUGAUGGAUAUUAAAGUGUAUCUUAGUUCUGGUUUGCUCCAUAGCUUUGCAUGUGGAUUAUCAUGUUCUAAAUUAUUAUUGUAUGAUCCAAUGUCUUUACCUUUUCACCUCCUCCUAAUAUUACCAACAUUAAUUCUUCAUAAUAUUUUAGACGAAGAGAGAGCACUGACGUUGAAGACUUGUUCAUUGCUCAUAUUGUUGGAAUGGAUACCGUUGCUCGUGGACUUCGAACUGCUGCCAAGCUGAUUGAGGUGAUAUAUUAUUUUUCUUUUUCACUUGUCUAAUAGUCCAUCCUAUUUGAUAAUGAUAAUUUUUUUUUUAAUCUGUGAUGUGAUACUGAGUUGACUUCUUUUUGUCAUUGAAUAAAGGAUGGUUCUCUACCGGAGCUCGUCCGCAAGCGAUACCAGAGCUUUGACUCAGAGAUUGGGCAAAAAAUAGAGGUUAUACUGCCUUCCUAUUAUCUUUGACAUCUUUUACUUUUUUGAGUUUAUACACAGUCUUGCAUCUUAUCACAGGCUGGUAAGGCUGAUUUUGAAAUGCUUGAGAAGAAGGCCAUGGAAUGGGGAGAACCCAAGGUUCCCUCUGCUAAGCAGGUAAUUCAUAACUUCCUUUCUCCAAAUUAUCCGGCUAGCCACUAUUUUGUUGUAAUAGGUAGUUGAACAUCCAUUAGCGCAAAACUGGCCUUAUACACAAAAGUAUUAGAUUCAAGAAUGCAGCAAUUAGAUUUUUUCUUCAGGGAAUAGAAUUGAAAAAGAGUUAGAACGAACAUACGAAUGUAUGCUAAUCUUGUCCCUUUCUGCGAAUUGUGGUACUAGUUUCUAGCAUUAAAAAAGGCCUGAAAUGAAGUAAACGCUACUGCACAUUUGAAUGAUCGAUCAAACUAAAUCUCACUCUUCCAAUUGUAAUUUUGCUUCCCCAAGAUGAUCCUGUUACUAGACUCAACCCAUCUAUCUGUAAAUUUUAAUUGUUAUUUGUUUAGCAAAUGCAAUGGGACCGCAGCCUUCUCAAGACUUAGUUCCUGGUUCGAGUCUCAUGUAGUGUGUGCGUGUUAAGCAAAUGCAGUUAGUUUGAAUCUAAAGGAGAAUUGUGUGCAAUGUUGCAGGAACUUGCGGAAAUGAUCUUCCAAUCUGCAAUAUAGAUAGCGGCUGCUCUGAAGCAGAACUUACAAAUAAAGAGGGGGGCAAAUUGAAGUUAUGUUUAUAGGCGGUCUGUGUCCAGUCAGUGAACGCUUUUGGGGAAAUGGGUCUUUUCAUGUGGGGAAAUUUUGACAUGUUUGUCUAGCUUAGGCUUUAUAAAGAACUUGUUUAGUUAUCGAUAUGACAGCUGUUAUAAAACUUGAAUCCUAAGAUCUUGAAAUUUUUUAUCAAUAACAUUGCUUUAAUAAUGAUCGAAGGUGCUUAAAAUUUUUUAGUCUGAAUUAUGGUACGGAUUCAAAUGUGUCUCCCAUAGUUAAGGUUCUCUUAAGGUAUCUCGUGGUUAAGAUAAAAAAAAAAUAAUAAUAAUAAUGAUCGAAGUUCAAUUUGAAAUCUGACCAAUGGUCCAAGUCGUCACUCGAGGCUUCGCGUCCACUGGAAAAUUAGUGCACAUUCUUUCUUUUGACACGUCCUCGUGCCAAAAUUUUAUAUCUCAGCUACACAUUAACGAUAAUGCCCAGUGUCCCACUAAAAGCUAAAAUAAGCAGUACAAAAUUUUCAGAACAAAGAGCAGCACAAACCCAAGAAUGAGAUUGAAUCUCCCAAGCAUUAUCUCUCUAAUAAUUCUAGCCCUCCCUUGGCUUCAAUUUUGUGAAACAGUCCCAGUUCCAACGCCGUGGCCCGAGAGAUUCCAUGCGCUUACUUACAAGAACUUGAGCUCAGAUGGUCUUCAAAUCGCAGACCAAUGGUACGACUGGCCACGAGGUCGCAACGUAUACAUAAUACAAAAACAACUGAGUGACUUGCUGUAUAAUGUUGAGUGGAACAAUGGCACUUCAUUUUACUACACCCUGGGAGAAAAUGGAACCUGUGAUGUCGUGCACUACGGUAUCGGAAUUCCCAGGCCUGAUUUUCUUGAUGAAGCUACUUAUUUGGGAACUCGGUUUACUGAUGGCUUUUUGUGCAAUCUUUGGGAAAAGCUGGAUUUUAUUUGGUAUUAUGAAGAUGUUCAAACCAAGAAGCCUGUCCGCUGGGACUUUUCUGAUGGUAAGUUAAUCUUCCCCACCCUUUCUUAGAUCAAAAUCUCAUUAUUUGAUGAGUUUUAGGUAUGACCGUUAUAUCAUGUUAGCUAUACAUUCAUUGAAUAAAAUUUUAUGACAUGUACAUUUAAGUUGAUACAAAUCGAUUUAUAUGAGUAGUUAUAAUAAAUGAGAGAGAAAUUAGAGCACAUGGUACCAAGUAGAUGGACAUGUUAAUUUGGAACAUUGUACCUAAGACUUAUAUCAUGAUUAGUAUGAUGUUUUAUUUGCAGGCAUAUCUGUACACGUGAUGACAUUUGAAGUUGGUGCUGUUUUGCACGAUCCAUUAAUUCAAGCGCCUUCAUACUGCUUCAACCAGGACACAUACGCUAAAGGCUAAAGCCUUUGGCAACAACUGGUGGUAAGAGCUUUUUUUUAAAAAAAAAAAAUUAUAAUUCGGUGAAGUGGGUAAGCACUUUUAGUUAAAAGCACUUAAAGCGCUUACUCUUAUCAAUAUUUAUUGCACUUGUGAACUUUAUUUUCGGCAGCACAUAACAUGACACCAUCUGCUUCACUCAUAAUUAAAAGGCAGCCUUAUUCUUAUUAUUUUAUGAUGCCGCUACAAACUAGAUAUGUUCAAAUCUGCUUAGGGGCAGGAAGUGCUCUGAUUGAUCAUCUUUGGGAUUAACUCUAAGCAUCAGGACAUAUCUGCCUGAAAAUCCUGGAGAAAUUUGUUGGGCCUUAAUUCUCAGAAUUGCAGCAAUACCGAUCAGUCUUCAAAACAGUGCAUGAAUUGUUGCACCCAUCUGAGGCCUUGAUUUCAACUGGGCAGUCUCCAUUAAUUGUUAAACUAUUGAAAAAAUAAUGCUAGAGCUCUCAAGUAGUAUAUCAGGACAUACAUAUAUUCCAUGUAUUUUUUUAAUGUGGCGACGUAAACCAUAGUACUGCUACUGUUAAUUUGAUAUUCUUAUGUAAAUGAAAAGAAUAUAUUCAUAUUUGGAGCAUCACUGUCCAAUAAUGUUUCAUGGAGGCAAAAGUUUAAAAAAUAAAAUAAAUUAAACCCUUUCUUUUAUAAAUUAGCUAUUUCUUUUUUUUCUUUUUUUGUCAAUUUCCUUAUAAUGUUGUUAAGUAUACCUAAAUGAGUUUUCAUUUUUUGAAGAAAAAUCACUUAGAAGAAUUGAUAUCCCCGAUGUUAAGUGCAACAAAUUGAGUUCUCUUGUGAAAAAGACUCACUAAAUGUAACGUAGCAAUUAACCCCAAAUAAUUUUGCUGGGGUCUUAGGUCCACCUCCUAAGAUUGACCAAAUAGGUAAUGACAUUGCCCCUCCUCUUAUCAAGAGACGGUCUAACCAAGAAGCACGGGCUCGUUGUGAAAAAGGGUUGUAUUAUUAUUGCGAUGACAAAUUUAUUCCUGGCCACUGUUGUUACAAGCUGCAGCUAUUCAUGAUUGAAGAUCAUGUGCCGUUCGCACAAUUCGAUAUUGGUUAGAAGGAUAGGUGCAGUGGUCGAGGAUGCUAAUUGGAAAAGUUGGCAAUUCUCCAAGUCUCAUCCUGACUUUGACCAUGAAAAAAAGGUGAUUCUAAAGGGUGGGGAAUGAUAUGUGCUUAAUAUGCAUGGCCAUUACGUGCAUGGUUUGCAAGCAGAAAUGGAAGACUUGUUCAAGUUGGUUAGAAUUCUAUUAGUUGGUGAUCUUAGUGGGUUCGGUUGGAUAAGCUUUGGUUGCUGAUUUUCAGCAGGAGUCUAGUCAUGUUCCAGAUUAUUUGCCAUUGUUGUUCUAUUUCUUAGCUUAGUGUGUGUAAAGUUCAAAGGCUAUAUAUGUGCAUAUGGAAUGAUUAGAAGGGAGAAAAAUGGAAAUUAAAGAUUACUGCAUUAUUCCUUCUUUCUUUCUUUUUAAAUCUCAGUUUCACUUCUUGGGUACAAAUUCUACAUCUCCAGC